GCGGGAUUAGUUAAACGGCUAUAAUAUUUGCCUUCCAAGCAGAAGUUACCGGUUCGAUUCCGGUAUCCCGCACCA
RNAcentral lists this transfer RNA (75 nucleotides) under Candidatus Campbelliibacteriota bacterium. RNAcentral describes it as "tRNA-Gly". It matches the Rfam family "tRNA". Rfam says of the family: Transfer RNA (tRNA) molecules are approximately 80 nucleotides in length. RNAcentral also lists the same sequence under 1 other name. The record is from RNAcentral. Lineage: Bacteria; Candidatus Campbelliibacteriota.